UACGUAGGUGGCAAGCGUUGUCCGGAUUUACUGGGCGUAAAGGGCGUGCAGGCGGCCUGUUAAGUCUAGGGUGAAAGCUCCCGGCUCAACUGGGAGAGGUCCUUGGAUACUGGCGGACUUGAGGGAUGCAGAGGAAAGUGGAAUUCCCGGUGUAGUGGUGAUAUGCGUAGAUAUCGGGAGGAACACCAGUGGCGAAGGCGGCUUUCUGGGCAUUUCCUGACGCUGAGACGCGAAAGCGUGGGGAGCGAACCGG
RNAcentral lists this ribosomal RNA (253 nucleotides) under uncultured bacterium. RNAcentral describes it as "partial 16S ribosomal RNA". It matches the Rfam family "Bacterial small subunit ribosomal RNA", at positions 524 to 776 of the family's 1533-position model. The record is from RNAcentral.